This is a long non-coding RNA of Heterocephalus glaber (naked mole-rat), 2055 nucleotides long. The record is from Ensembl. Lineage: Eukaryota; Metazoa; Chordata; Mammalia; Rodentia; Bathyergidae.
GUCUUUUUAAAACAUCUAGCCAUUUAGUUACAUUUUCAGCAUAUCAAAAUACAUUUAUUUUUUUCCGUAACUGUGUAUUUAGGGGAAGAGAAGAUUUCUUAUAAUUGAAAUCAUUGAAGGCUAAAUUUUGAUUCCCUGGGCACAUUCUCUUAACUGUGGCAGAGGUACCUGUCAUGUGAUUUACACAGUGAAUGGCCCUGCUUUUGGAGCAAGUUAAUGUUAUAAUAUCCCCAUUUAUAUUCAGAACAGUCAACACUUUUGAGCUCUCAGAAUAAUAAAAGCACCUGCAUUUAAUAUACAUGGAAGAAUGGAAAGGCAAAUAGCAGAUAAGGCACAAUCAGACAUCUCCAAAUUUUAGUGAAAUCUGCUCGACACUUCUGAAUGCCUCUACGUCUCCAUGAUGGAUCAGAAAUAUGCAUAUCUCUACAAGGAUAGCAUGGAAGAAAAGAACUGUCUCUAGGGGCACACAGGUGGCUGCUCUGUGGACAUGUGCCAUCCGAACACGAUUGUGCUACUCCUUUGUCACUCAAGACUAAGAGCCAUUACUAGGUUCCAGACAACAUAAGCUAAUUCUGGCUAGAAUUUAUUGAUGAAGACUCAGAUCUUGAAAUCUGAAUUUAAAACAACCAGCUUUUGGAUGAGCCAGACCAAGGACCCCCAGGGACCUUAGAAGCAGAAGAUAAUGGACCUUUUCUAUAGAACAUUGGACUCUUUGUUUCUCACCUUUAGUGGCCUGAUGUCAAAUGGGUCAUCUUAGUCAAGAAGGCAGGCAGGACCAUGUAUUACAAGCCUAAUUGCUGGGGAUUUUUCUGUAUCUGAAGCAAUUAUAGGCAAAGGGAAUGUUUAGAAGUAAUAAAAUUUUAAGACUUUAAGGGUGAAUGACAGAUAAACUACACAUAUUUAAAGUAUAUAAUUUGGUAUAUUUUGACAUGUGUGUAUACACACCAGGAAACUAUCACCAUAAUGAAGAAAAUGAAGAUAUCCAUAUCUCUGCUGGUUUCCUUUCGUCCUUUUUUCUUUCUUCUCUCUCAGUCCUGUGUCCCUCUUCCUGUACCCAGGCAUCAGCUGACCUGCUUCUGUCAUUGUGGAUUAGUUUGCACUUUCUAGAAUUUUACUUAAAUGGGAUCAUAAGUUCUUUUCUGACUUUUUUCAUUCAGUGUAAUUAUUUUGAGACUUAUCCAUGCUGUAGUAUUUAUCAGUACCUUAUUGCUUUUUAUGGGUGAUUAAUGUUCCAUUGGCUGGCUAUACUAUAGUUUAUUCAUUAAGCUGUUGAUGACAUUAGGGUUCUAGUUUGAGGCUAUUACUGAUAAAGUUGGUAUGAAUAUUUACAUGCAAGUGUUUUCUUUUAGACAUUUGUUUUCAUUUCUCUUGAGUAAAACCUAGGAGUAGAAUGGCCUGGUAAUCCUGUAGGUGGGUGUUUUACUUUUUCAUCAACUGCCAAGAAGUUUUUCAAAGUGGUUGUAUAAUUUUCUAUUCCUACUGGCAACAUGUGAGAGUUCUGGUUCUCUAUCAUCACUAGCACUUGGUUAUAUCCAGGACUUACUUUUUUUUUAUUAAGUUUAUUGGUACAUUUUAGGUAUACAAUACAGUUACUUUCACCAUUGGUAUCUUGUACCUUUACAUGAUAUAUAUUGGUUCUUAUUUUUUCCCCCUUCUCCUGCCAUCCCUUCAACCCCUCCACCCUUCCCUAUUUACAAAGACUUUGUUUCCAUUUUUUCAUUUUCUCAUAAUUUUUCCUUUCCCUUCUUUCCUUUCCCCUACCCCUCCCACUUUCCCUUCCUCCUUUGAACCUUUUCUUCCUAUUUCACGUUAUCAAUCAUACAUUUUGAUCCUUAUUUAUACUUUUAGUUUCUCACACCAGAGAAACUAUUUGGUAUUUACAUAUGCAUGCCCUGUUUAUUUCACUUAAGAGUUGCAUAUCGAGGCCAUACUUUAAGUGAAAUAAAUGGGACACAUGUGUAAAUAGCGAAUAGUUUCUGUAGUGUGAGAAACUGAUAGUGUAAAUAAGAGUUAAAAUGAUUAAAAUGAAUAAUUGAUAAUUUGAAAUAGGAAGAA